CACCGCCCGUCACACCAUGGGAGUCGAUUGCUCCAGAAGUGCCUGAGCCGACCGCAAGGAGGCAGGGCCCAAGGAGUGAUCGGUAACUGGGUG
This 93-nucleotide ribosomal RNA is filed under the name uncultured bacterium. RNAcentral's name for it is "partial 16S ribosomal RNA". It matches the Rfam family "Bacterial small subunit ribosomal RNA", at positions 1388 to 1482 of the family's 1533-position model. The record is from RNAcentral.